CUAUCUGUCUAUCUAUCUAUUGAUCUUUCUAUCUAUCUGUCUAUCUAUCUAUCUAUCUAUCGAUCUUUCUAUCUGUCUGUCUGUCUGUCUGUCUGUCUGUCUGUCUGUCUUCCGUGUCUGUCAUGUCUCCGCAGCUGCGUGCACAGGGAAUGGGGAGGUAAAGACGACGCUGUGGAACACGGGCAGUUUUUCUCAGCUGCUUCGGUACAUUUCUCGGAUCAGAACUGAAACUGUCAGCACCACGUCUUCAACCUCCUCAUCAUCUAGUCACGUUCAUGCAGUUGAUUAUGUGCAGCUGUUUGCAGUUCCCUACAUUAUCAACUGCUUCUGUCAUGUUCAUCAAAAUAUAUUAUACUGCUUCUCUGUGGAAAAGUCUUUACCCCCCAGAACAUCUGGACAUCACUUCACUGCAUAAAUCAUUCGGUGCGACACGGCUGAGCCAGUUCUCCUAGAUGUAUAGACAGUAGGAGAUACUGGCAGUGUGAGUACGCUGUUAUAUUGACAACACGGCUACGCGUUCUCUCUACCUUGGCGUUCUCACGGCCCGGAGAUGUUCCCAGACUGAAAUAUUUACUUCCGAGAGAUGAUUCCGAGCAAGUUGCAUGCUUUUGCAGGGAGCGUUUGCGUUGUGUGGUGUUCGGAGAAAAGCGCUUACUUAAACGCACUUGAAUGUUAAGCGCGAUUCGGGGAAAUGUACCGAGGCGACCGAGGAAAAAAACUAACACCGGAGAAUAAACCAAACCACAUUUCCUGUACACGUCGUGUAUUCGUUAAUAAAUCAGCAUGACACGUUCAAUUCGAAUAUUUUAUGUUGUUAUAUAAAAUUCAAAUUCAAAGCCUUUCAGGAAACCACAGUGCCAAAGUGCUGAACGCCUCUUACACAAAGCGUGCUCCUCAGGAGUUUACGUAUCUUCAGUUUUAGCAAGGAGCCGCUGUUUUAGAGUCACCAAACAGUGGCCAGAUGUAAGAUUAUUACUAGUCCUCCGUACGAAAGAGUCCGCUAAAUGAGACUGCUUUACUUGUGUAACUGUGUACACGUUUAAUCAGACGUUUUAAACAAUAACAUCUGACCUAAAGGUAUGAACUCAUUCUGUACCAGCUGACAUGAGAGAGAGAGGGAGAGAGAGAGGGAGAGACAGAGAGAGAUAGAGAAAGACAGAGAGAGAUAAAGAUAGAGAAAGACAGACACACAGAGAGAGAUAGAGAAAGACAGACACAGAGAGAGAGAUAGAGAAAGACACAGAGAGAGAGAGAAAG
This is a long non-coding RNA of Ictalurus punctatus (channel catfish), 1257 nucleotides long. Lineage: Eukaryota; Metazoa; Chordata; Actinopteri; Siluriformes; Ictaluridae. The record is from Ensembl.